GAUACUGAAAUGUUUCGUUUUGAAAGCAAUCGUCAACCCUGGAUUGUCCCUAAGGGGAAUCCAAGAGUUGUCUAUUAUUAAUACCUGUUAUCUAUUGUUCUUUGCUAUUCGUUCUUGUAUACUAUACCUGCCUUAUCAACAGGUCGAGGAACGGUUGACAAUGCCUCUCGGCCAUCUCCAAGUGUGGGGUUGCCACCCACUACGUCACUGACCCUUGCAGUGGCAUCAGAUCCUGCAGCAGCGGCGGUCCCAACCCCAGCUUCAUUGGUGUCUGAUUCGAGUGCAGUAGCUCUGCUAGCAGAAUGCCCGCACCGAGCACAGCCUCCCAUUGUGUCCGUGCUUGCAUCUACAUCUGCCAUGUCUUCUUCUUCCGCUGGAGUGAGCCCUGAUACGCCCGGUGCAGCCACAGAUUCUCCUGAAGUGGAUUGUUCCUCUGGACAGCGUCUUACAGGGAGGCAGUCAGUGAGCUGGAUCGCUUCGGAAACGUGGAACUUCCUGAUCAGGUUUCAGAGCAUUAUCGUCGGCUUGAUCGUGUUUCUCUUGGCGGACAGGAUCUGGAAAUUUCUGGGAUACUGACGCUUAUUGGGAGGCUGAACAGUGAGCACGACUACCGACUGGCCGAAUAUUUUAAAAUCAUUCAAUCACCGUGCCCAGUGCCCAGUGCCCAGCUGCUGCAAUUGCGGUCACGGCAUUCUUGCUAUUCGCUGUGAUUUGUCUAUCUACAUGUAUGUAUGCCCAUCUUUCCCCAUGCCCAUGGAGGAGCCGUUUUGCGAUUCCGUGAUGACUUCAUUUUUUGUUUUUCGUUUUUUUGCUGUCCAAGAUUGGCUGUUAUCACGACCUCACAGUCAGUCACCAAUACCCUGUACUCGAAACUGUGAUUCUGCAGUUGCCAUGGCAAUGACGUUAGUCAUUGCAUUCGUCUGAGUCGCACCGCAAACCAAUUGACAGGCCGAAAUAACGUUGUGCACAAGCACACUUGAUUCUUUGACUCUUUGCCGUGAUAAUGAUGCAGACUUUAUCCGAUGGACCUUUCCUCUUUUAUUUUUUUAUUUACUUUUCCUCUUUCAGGUCGUCUCCUUCCACUGUUUGAGAGUGGCAGACUCAACUGAGCGUUAUUAUGCUCUACAACCAUAAUUUAAUCCUUAGACAUUUGAAAUUCUCCCAUGUCCCUCUUAGAGAUUUUACUUUUUCUUUGGUUGUGUGUGUGUGUGUGUGUGUGUGUGGUGUGUGUGUGUAUGUGUGUGUGUGUGUGUGUGUGCGUGUGUGUGUGUGUGUGUGUGUGUGUGUGUGGUGUGUGUGUGUGUGUACGUGUGUGUGUGUGUGUGUGUGUGCGUGUGUGUGUGUAUGUGUGUGUGUGUGUGUAUGUGUGUGUGUGUGUGUGCGUGCGUACGCGCGUGUGGAUGUGGGUGUGCCAGUGAAUGUAUUUCCCUAGCUGUGUUGAGCUCCGCUUUCAGUUUUAGGAUCAUGACACGCUGGAACGCGGAUGUGCUACACCCCCCCCCCCUCCCCAUUUUUCAUCUUAUCUGCAGGCAGAUUUGCUCAUCCUCGUCUUUAUAUUUUCAUCUCAAUUUGCUAUUUUUCUGAUGCUUUCUGCUUUCAUGACGAUAGCAGGCAUUCUUCACUAAAGCAUUGUCUUUCAUGUCGUAGCAAUAAUUUUUAUUGGUAGUUGCCGACAUACUGUGUUUUUUUUUCUCUACGAAAUCUACAUAUCUCCA
Sycon ciliatum is the source of this 1715-nucleotide long non-coding RNA. RefSeq lists it as uncharacterized. Lineage: Eukaryota; Metazoa; Porifera; Calcarea; Leucosolenida; Sycettidae. The record is from RefSeq and is a predicted model, not a curated record. The transcript has 3 exons.